This is a long non-coding RNA of Hyla sarda, 722 nucleotides long. RefSeq lists it as uncharacterized. NCBI's taxonomy places the organism in Eukaryota, Metazoa, Chordata, Amphibia, Anura, Hylidae. The record is from RefSeq and is a predicted model, not a curated record. The transcript has 3 exons.
GUAACUCUUAGUGAGAGCCAGCUGUGUCACUCGUCAUACAGUAGGAGGACUUUUGAUAUGUAUCACUCUUUCAGAUUAGUGCAAAAUCAGUCUUCCAAUGUUGGAGCUAGUCAGCUGAUAUGAUACUGACAUGUGGAGAGAUGUGGAAAAUGUUCCAAAACUUAUGAAUAUAGCGGAUGGUGUGAUCCCUUUAUCCUCCUAAUGAGCAUGUCAUGGAUCAUGAAGGAUGAAGACAAGAAAUAAAAUGAGACGCCAGAGCAGAAGAAGUACUUCAAGAAAAGAACACCAGUAUACCAGCAAAAGGGUCAAGAGUCACCAUGAGUCAUUAAAGGGGGUGUUAGCGAAGGAAACAAACUGUGUACAGUGUCAAAAAAGUAACUUAAUAUAAUGUUUUAGCUUUUCUUGUAAGCUGUUAUGUCACAGACUCUGAAAGCAGUCUUCUCUGUCCCUCCUCCCACCCUCCUCUGCUGUCAGCACUGAAUGAGACAGUGAUGUGGAAUUAUUAUUCAUUAGAUUUUUCAUCCAUUAAAUAAGGCAGCUGGGAGCCCAUUCUUAGUCACAGUAGUUUAUAUCAGAAUGAACUCCCUGCUGCCUUAUCCAAUCAGUCAUAAAUCUAAUGAACAGUAAUACCAGCUACCCCCCUUGACAUCGCUGAUCUUGUCCCUUGAUGAUAGGAGGGAGGGGGAGAAGGGAAUCCACAUGAACUUUGACUGUUUAAUUAA